AUUAAUUUGAGAGUUUGAUCCUGGCUCAGGACGAACGCUGGCGGCGUGCCUAAUACAUGCAAGUCGAACGAACUCUGGUAUUGAUUGGUGCUUGCAUCAUGAUUUACAUUUGAGUGAGUGGCGAACUGGUGAGUAACACGUGGGAAACCUGCCCAGAAGCGGGGGAUAACACCUGGAAACAGAUGCUAAUACCGCAUAACAACUUGGACCGCAUGGUCCGAGUUUGAAAGAUGGCUUCGGCUAUCACUUUUGGAUGGUCCCGCGGCGUAUUAGCUAGAUGGUGGGG
Molecule: ribosomal RNA, 286 nt
Filed under: Lactiplantibacillus plantarum
Lineage: Bacteria; Bacillati; Bacillota; Bacilli; Lactobacillales; Lactobacillaceae
Description: Lactobacillus plantarum partial 16S ribosomal RNA
Rfam family: Bacterial small subunit ribosomal RNA
Source: RNAcentral